UGGAAAAUGAUUUUUUUUUUCAUUUUUUCUCCCUUAUUUUUUAUUCCAUUGUUCAAAAGUAAAUGAGUAAAAAGGUAAUGAGUUUUGUAAUUACGAAAUGAUUUGAUUCCAAUAGUAGGAUAACAAAAGUAGGUAAACAAACAUGAUAAUGGGUAUCAAAACUCAUAGUAAGGUGCAAAAAGUUUGACCAAACUUCA
Long non-coding RNA from Ipomoea nil (Japanese morning glory), 197 nucleotides. RefSeq lists it as uncharacterized. The transcript is spliced from 3 exons. The record is from RefSeq and is a predicted model, not a curated record. NCBI's taxonomy places the organism in Eukaryota, Viridiplantae, Streptophyta, Magnoliopsida, Solanales, Convolvulaceae.